ACACCGCGCCGCAGCGCGGGUGCUCCCGUGAGGGGCUGCCGUUCCCCUCCGUGGGUCUGUGUGGAGCGGCGGCGAUACCUGCUUGCCCCCCGCCCCGGGACACACACACACACACACACGUAUCACCCACCCACCCGGCCCCACGCCGGGGUUUUGGACCGCUAGCACCCACCCGGGCCGCCUCCUCGGCGCCGUGUCUCCUCGUCCCUCAGCCGGGUUUCCCCCCCCCCAGCUCCGCGCUGUGGGGUAGGGAAGCGGUGGGGGCCGUGUGGAGGGCGGUGAGGGGGGGGUGGAUGUUGUUUUUUCAGUCAGCUGCAGCACUUGAGCUCCAAAGGGUUUGUAGUUUUAGGGCUUGGCGGUGUUUUGCUUUUCGCUGAUCCACGCUGCCGGGACCCCUCGGGUCGGGGUGAGGGCGGCAGGCAGGAGGCCAAAUCCUGCUUUCCCCUGCGGACACGAGUGGGGGGGCUUCCCUGGGAGGACGGACAGCCCCACAUCAGAAAGAGGAGCACCGAGUGCCGCAGCAGAACUUCCCAUCCCUGAGAACUAAAGCCCUCUGUGAAGGAGAACCCAAACACCGGUUCCAUGAAACAAAAUUUUAAGACCAAUUAAAAAUAAAUUAAAAAAAAAUUUACGCUUCCCACGCAUGCUUUCCCCACUGCCCCCAUCCUCCGCCCCAUCUCCCCUUCGCCCCGGCAGCGUCGGGCGCUGAUGCGAUGUUGGCGUAAUUUGGCAUAUUCAGGCUGCUAUUUUGUACCUGUCUGUUUAUUUGAGAGACAGCCUCAACCUUGUAAUGAACGCAUCUGAAUAUUUAUCUGCUUGCUCUGAAUGGUAUAUUUGUAUUUCAAAUGCUUAAUUGUUAUUUUUAUUUAGCUGCAAAUUGCUGUUUUUAUUUUGCUGGCAUACCUACUUGGAAACCGCUCUAGCAUGAGGUUAACACCGAGCUUUUCUCUAUUCCUGAUUAGUUUUUUUUAAUUAAUCCAAUGCUGAUAAGUGCGUAAGGACUCUGCAGCCCUAUUCUAGCUUGCCACGGUGAUCUAAGAUGUGAAGACAGUGGAAUCUACCCCAGAAGAAACUGGCUCAUGCGGAGGAAUUGGGAGAGGGCAAACCAGCCAGGACCACGGAGGAAACCUGGGCAGGACCCGGGGAGAUGGGAAACCCCAGCGACCAGGAGCAGCUCAGUUCUCCUGUGCCAAACCUGGAGGACCAGGUAAAACGCACCUGGGACCAGUUCCCAGCAGCGUGGCCGGCUGGUAUGUGACAACCUCAACACAAAGGCCAAAAAGACCUUCUCCCUGCCCAUUCCCAUCUAGCUGGGAGUGCAGCUCUCUCACCAAAGGACUUUAAAAAGCAUCUGGCCGAGAGCACCUACAGAGCAAGACUUGAGCCGUAAAGACCUGGCCUUGUGAAUAAAUCCUUCAUGACACAUUUGAUUGCCCAUGGGUAUCCUCUGGCUUCACACGAGGAUUGGACUGUAGAGUCAACUUGAACUUUUAAAGUCGUGUUGUUUUUUUAGGUAAAUGAACAAAGCAAUAAAAGAAGAAAAAAAAGGAAGAAAAAGGAGGGUGGACACAUUUCCUGAGCAUGGUUAGAGGAGGGUGGGUGGGGAGUGCACAAGGAAACCCCAACUGCCCCUUUUGCAAUGUACUGCUGAAGACUGACAGCGUGAUUUAGGGUCCUCGGACACAAGGCACACUGCUGGAUCCUUGUUAGGCUGUGCAGGAAGGGAGGAAAAUGAGGCAGUGUUUUGCACCAAACUGUAGCUGCAAACGAGAGACUGUGAGCAAACCGGACCCCCAGAACUGGGUCAUACUCAGGGUUGGCUGGACCUUAUCUCCAAGCCAAUAUCAGUAGGAAGGGCUAAAUAUUUCUGGGAAUCACCAAGAAGCUCAUAUCGGAGCUAAAAAUAAAGUUUUAUAUCAGUGUG
This is a long non-coding RNA of Aquila chrysaetos chrysaetos, 1924 nucleotides long. RefSeq lists it as uncharacterized. The transcript has 2 exons. NCBI's taxonomy places the organism in Eukaryota, Metazoa, Chordata, Aves, Accipitriformes, Accipitridae. The record is from RefSeq and is a predicted model, not a curated record.